GUCUUAAAUGGCGUUAGUUGCGUGGGCGAGACGCGGAAGCGGGGAUGAUCUAGCCAUGACCAGGAUGAAGCGCGGUAAUACCGCGUGGAGGUCCGAACCGGUGAAAGUUGAAAAUUUCUCGGAUGAGUUGUGGCUAGGGGUGAAAAGGCCAAUCAAAUCCCGGGAUAGCUCGUUCUCCCCGAAAGAUAUUUAGGUAUCGUCUUCAGAAAUUCUGUCACGGAGGUAGAGCACUGAAAGGGCUAGGGGUCCUACCAGAUUACCAAACCCUAUCAAACUCCGAAUGCCGUGAACUGUUAUCUGUGGAAGCAGUCAUUGGGUGCUAAGGUCCGAUGACAAAAGGGAAAGAGCCCAGACCGACAGCUAAGGUCCCAAAGUUUUUGGCUAAGUGGAAAAGGAUGUGGGAACGCAUUGACAGCCAGGAAGUUGGCUUA
RNAcentral lists this ribosomal RNA (431 nucleotides) under uncultured bacterium. Its description in RNAcentral is "bacterial LSU rRNA". It matches the Rfam family "Bacterial large subunit ribosomal RNA", at positions 681 to 1108 of the family's 2925-position model. The record is from RNAcentral.